Molecule: non-coding RNA, 470 nt
Organism: Pelobates cultripes (western spadefoot toad)
Lineage: Eukaryota; Metazoa; Chordata; Amphibia; Anura; Pelobatidae
Source: the annotation of a GenBank genome assembly
AUUUUAAUUGCUUUUUUUUUUUUUUUGCUUUUUAAUCUUACAAACAACAAAAAUCGUUUUCGUAGUAAACAUUUUUAUAGGAUUUGAAUUGCAUUAACGUUUGGCAAGUAGUGGAUUGAGCGCUCUUAAUGUGCUUUCCAAAUCAAAGGCUGUGCUCUUUGAAGAAGGUGUGUGAUUGGGGUCUGUUCCAUGUAUAGAAUCUCCAGAUGUCUAUAAAACAAGAAGGGGCAUUUGGCAGGUCACGUGAAGGGGGUGCAGGUUAAAAUCACUUGCACAAAAGUCCCUUUUUUACAACUGAACAGUCUUCCAUUUAGAAGCCAAAUGCAGGAAAGCUCACAGACAUAUUUCCAGUGCUUGUAGGUAUUAAGAUGCAAAACACAUUAGCAUAAACAACCUAAAUUCUAACUGAUUGACUGCCUGUGUUAUUAACCCUUUACUGACCAAUGGUGUAUCAGACAUGUAAUGCCUAU